Molecule: ribosomal RNA, 568 nt
Filed under: Puntius sahyadriensis (Khavli barb)
Lineage: Eukaryota; Metazoa; Chordata; Actinopteri; Cypriniformes; Cyprinidae
Description: partial 16S ribosomal RNA
Rfam family: Bacterial large subunit ribosomal RNA
Source: RNAcentral
UAUAAGAGGUCCAGCCUGCCCGGUGACCACAGGUUCAACGGCCGCGGUAUUUUGACCGUGCAAAGGUAGCGCAAUCACUUGUCUUUUAAAUGAAGACCCGUAUGAAAGGCCAAACGAGGGCUUAACUGUCUCCCAUUUCUAGUCAGUGAAAUUGAUCUGCCCGUGCAGAAGCGGACAUAAAAAUACAAGACGAGAAGACCCUUUGGAGCUUAAGGCAUAAAACUCAACCACAUAAAGCAACUCUAUAAAAAGUGAAUAUCAAAACAUGUGGCAAAUGAAGACCCUGCCUUCGGUUGGGGCGACCGCGGAGGAAAGAAAAGCCUCCACGUGGAUUGGGAUAUUUCCUAAAACCAAGAGAGACAUCUCUAAGCUACAGAACAUCUGACCAUUAAUGAUCCGGCCAAUGACAGCCGAUCAACGAACCAAGUUACCCUAGGGAUAACAGCGCAAUCCUCUCCAAGAGUCCCUAUCGACGAGGGGGUUUACGACCUCGAUGUUGGAUCAGGACAUCCUAAUGGUGCAGCAGUUAUUAAGGGUUCGUUUGUUCAACGAUUAAAGUCCUACGUGA